Styela clava is the source of this 278-nucleotide non-coding RNA. NCBI's taxonomy places the organism in Eukaryota, Metazoa, Chordata, Ascidiacea, Stolidobranchia, Styelidae. The record is from RefSeq and is a predicted model, not a curated record.
UAAAAGUAAGUUCUUUAAAUUCGAGAUUUUAUAAAUGCCGGAUGAGAUGGAAUAAGUUGAAUUCAACUCCCAGACGGAUCACGGAUAAUGUCUCAAGAAAAGCUAUAAUUCAAGGGGCGUGUACAAAUAUGAAGAAGAUAAAUGAACAGGAAGCAAAAAAUGGGCGUGCGCAAAGGACGAUAUGCCAGGGCACAUGCUUGACAAACCUUAUUUCUACGUAACAGUUUACAAGUUACUGAUAAUUAUGAGAAAGAAACUGGCCGACUCAAAUGCUCCGA